UGGGGAAUAUUGGACAAUGGGCGAAAGCCUGAUCCAGCCAUGCCGCGUGUGUGAAGAAGGUCUUCGGAUUGUAAAGCACUUUAAGUUGGGAGGAAGGGCAGUAAGCGAAUACCUUGCUGUUUUGACGUUACCGACAGAAUAAGCACCGGCUAACUCUGUGCCAGCAGCCGCGGUAAUACAGAGGGUGCAAGCGUUAAUCGGAAUUACUGGGCGUAAAGCGCGCGUAGGUGGUUCGUUAAGUUGAAUGUGAAAGCCCCGGGCUCAACCUGGGAACUGCAUCCAAAACUGGCGAGCUAGAGUAGGGCAGAGGGUGGUGGAAUUUCCUGUGUAGCGGUGAAAUGCGUAGAUAUAUGAAGGAACACCAGUGGCGAAGGCGACCAGCUGGGCUCAUACUGACACUGAGGUGCGAAAGCGUGGGGAGCAAACAGG
RNAcentral lists this ribosomal RNA (429 nucleotides) under Pseudomonadota bacterium. RNAcentral describes it as "Proteobacteria bacterium partial 16S ribosomal RNA". It matches the Rfam family "Bacterial small subunit ribosomal RNA", at positions 355 to 776 of the family's 1533-position model. Lineage: Bacteria; Pseudomonadati; Pseudomonadota. The record is from RNAcentral.